GCCUCGGAUAGCUUAUCUGGUAGAGCCUUUGGCAUGUAACCGAACGAUCCGGGCUUGAGUCCCGGUCCAGGCU
Molecule: transfer RNA, 73 nt
Filed under: Cotesia glomerata
Lineage: Eukaryota; Metazoa; Arthropoda; Insecta; Hymenoptera; Braconidae
Description: tRNA-Thr
Rfam family: tRNA
About the family: Transfer RNA (tRNA) molecules are approximately 80 nucleotides in length. Their secondary structure includes four short double-helical elements and three loops (D, anti-codon, and T loops). Further hydrogen bonds mediate the characteristic L-shaped molecular structure. tRNAs have two regions of fundamental functional importance: the anti-codon, which is responsible for specific mRNA codon recognition, and the 3' end, to which the tRNAs corresponding amino acid is attached (by aminoacyl-tRNA synthetases). tRNAs cope with the degeneracy of the genetic code in two manners: having more than one tRNA (with a specific anti-codon) for a particular amino acid; and 'wobble' base-pairing, i.e. permitting non-standard base-pairing at the 3rd anti-codon position.
Source: RNAcentral